RNAcentral lists this ribosomal RNA (253 nucleotides) under uncultured bacterium. RNAcentral's name for it is "partial 16S ribosomal RNA". It matches the Rfam family "Bacterial small subunit ribosomal RNA", at positions 524 to 776 of the family's 1533-position model. The record is from RNAcentral.
UACGAAGGGGGCUAGCGUUGCUCGGAAUCACUGGGCGUAAAGCGCACGUAGGCGGCUUUUUAAGUCAGGGGUGAAAUCCUGGAGCUCAACUCCAGAACUGCCUUUGAUACUGAGAGGCUUGAGUCCGGGAGAGGUGAGUGGAACUGCGAGUGUAGAGGUGAAAUUCGUAGAUAUUCGCAAGAACACCAGUGGCGAAGGCGGCUCACUGGCCCGGGACUGACGCUGAGGUGCGAAAGCGUGGGGAGCAAACAGG